RNAcentral lists this unclassified non-coding RNA (331 nucleotides) under soil metagenome. RNAcentral's name for it is "partial contains 5.8S ribosomal RNA, internal transcribed spacer 2, and large subunit ribosomal RNA". The stretch from base 1 to 120 matches the Rfam family "5.8S ribosomal RNA", at positions 35 to 154 of the family's 154-position model. The record is from RNAcentral.
GAUGAAGAACGUAGCGAAAUGCGAUAAGUAAUGUGAAUUGCAGAAUUCAGUGAAUCAUCGAAUCUUUGAACGCACAUUGCGCCCCCUGGUAUUCCGGGGGGCAUGCCUGUUCGAGCGUCAUUUCACCACUCAAGCCUCGCUUGGUAUUGGGCAACGCGGUCCGCCGCGUGCCUCAAAUCGACCGGCUGGGUCUUCUGUCCCCUAAGCGUUGUGGAAACUAUUCGCUAAAGGGUGUUCGGGAGGCUACGCCGUAAAACAACCCCACUUCUAAGGUUGACCUCGGAUCAGGUAGGGAUACCCGCUGAACUUAAGCAUAUCAAUAAGCGGAGGA